GUGGGGAAUAUUGGACAAUGGGCGCAAGCCUGAUCCAGCAAUGCCGCGUGGGUGAAGAAGGUCUUCGGAUCGUAAAGCCCUUUCGACAGGGACGAUGAUGACGGUACCUGUAGAAGAAGCCCCGGCUAACUUCGUGCCAGCAGCCGCGGUAAUACGAAGGGGGCUAGCGUUACUCGGAAUUACUGGGCGUAAAGGGCGCGUAGGCGGCUCUGUUAGUCAGGCGUGAAAUUCCUGGGCUUAACCUGGGGACUGCGCUUGAUACUGCAGAGCUUGAGGCCGAGAGAGGGUGGUGGAAUUCCGAGUGUAGAGGUGAAAUUCGUAGAUAUUCGGAAGAACACCAGUGGCGAAGGCGACUCACUGGCCCAAUACUGACGCUGAGGCGCGAAAGUGUGGGGAGCAAACAGGAUUAGAAACCCCGGUAGUCC
RNAcentral lists this ribosomal RNA (425 nucleotides) under uncultured bacterium. Its description in RNAcentral is "partial 16S ribosomal RNA". It matches the Rfam family "Bacterial small subunit ribosomal RNA", at positions 354 to 796 of the family's 1533-position model. The record is from RNAcentral.